ACCAACUGUCCCAUACAGAAGCUCACUACUGUGACGAUGCCCAUAAUGAAAACCUCUCUGAAGUGGUGAGCCCUCUGGUGGAUAAGGAUUAGCAUGGCCACAGUAAAUGCCAUGAGGUUUCAGUCAAAAAUGGCGUGGAUUUUAAGAGACUUCCCUUCUCUUCAGAAACUGGGCACCCUGUUGGAAUGAGUGAUUGGCAUGUACACACAGACAGUGUCCUGCAGUGUUUCAUCUAAUUAAGGCAGAGUUUUUAUAUUGUGGUGGCACACGCCACUGUCCAUUUGGUAUUUCUAGUGUAACAUUAUCUUAUAUUCAAGGUUGCUGCUUGUGGGCGUAAAGCUUUGCUGGAAUAAGGUAAAUCAAGGGAUUUAAUUAGGUCUGUCAGUGGUGGUUCCUACCAUUUUUUUGGCUUGUGAAUCCUUAAAACCGAGCAACGCCUACUCUUAUGUCUAAUGUUUAUCACAAUCACAGAUUAGAGAAAUAUUUGAUAUUAAUAUAUUUUUUAGUUUUUUCCACUUUCUACUAUCCUGUUUUAACCCCUCAGAUUCAUCUUGCAAGCCACUUGGUUGGGAACCACUGUUCUACAGUAUUUAUCUGGAAUAUGUAUUUCAAUCACCACAUGUUUGGUUUGACGGUUGCUUAAAUACCAAAACUCAAAAGUUCUGAUAACAGCUGCCAUUUCACUUUCAUGAUAAAGGACAUAACAAUGUCCUGUAUGAGGCAAGCUCACCGAAUACAGAGGCAGACCAUGGGUGAGGAGAAUUCAUUCAUUCAUUAAUAGUAGUUGAAGGAAGACAUAGAAAUGUAUUUGACACCACUGGAUUUAUUCCUAUACUUAUCACAGGAAGUCAGGGUAUCACAGAGACAAUAUCCCAGUUCUAAUCUCCACACUCACGGAGUAACAGACUUUAAGGCACAUUCUCGGUAGGUCCACAAGGAUUUAGGACUGUCCUUCAGCCUGAAGGAAUAACCCACUGUUCAUAUCUUUGGGAAGUUAAACACAGGGUUACCAGGGGAAGAAAAAAUAAGUUUACAUGUAAUUGUAUGAGGUUGUGUUGAUAAAUUGAUUAUUUGAAAAUCACCUCUCUUCCUCACUGUAAGGUCGAGCCUGGAAUACGUUCAAAUCAGGCAGUUGGUCCCUUAAGUGCCUUGACUGUGAAGAAAGUAAAAAACGUCAAAUAAAAUGUUCCCAAACCCACAACUCUAGGUAAACUCACAAAGUGCUGUCCCAUUAUACCAUUUCAGGCCCUUGCAGCCUCUUGCACUCAAGCACUUACCAGGUUAUGUCAACUCAUCAAGUCUGUAAAGGUUCAGGAUUUAGGCUUUAGGGAGGAGAUUGGAAUUGGGCCAAUAAUUUUCACAAAGGGAAAUGACUCAGCAGCCCACAUCAUUGAUGCUAUGUUGCAGUCAGAUGUAAGUGGUGGAACAGUGCGCAUGGGAUAACAAACAGUUCGGGAGAUACCGUAUGUGCACUGCAAAUUAGACAACAUUUGACAUCCAUCACAAAGAAAAGGCAAGAGUAAAAUGAAGAAAAUGGUCAAGAGAUUCAGAACACUUUAUCUACGUGUAGCUGCACAGAUUCUGCCAUAACAAGAAUUAUGAAGGAGAAUAUCCAGGAGGCUUAUCACUGUGUAGGGUGUGUGCUGGAACGCGGAGAACGAUAAGGAAGUGUGCAAUCAUUAACGUUCUGCACUUAAGGGCAGGUCUGAAGGACGAUAAAUAUACAAAAAGCACAAUAAGGAAUCAGAAUCUACAAGCACUUGAGCUGAGGAGAAGAUCCAGUCGUCCUGAGUGAAAUGCAACAGAGGUGACAAUGGGGUUCACGGCAUUGCACAUUCACUGUCUUCUAACUGCAUUCACUCUCACGACACAAGAGUUGGCGAAAUUAAGUGUGAGUCCCAAGAUCAGUGCAGAGUGUGGUCAACAGGUAACCCUAAACUGUGACGUGUCCUCAUCUAGAAAUGGACUAUCAGUCAUACAUAUGGGGUGGACCCACAACAAAACAACCUUAUGUUCUGUGGACAGUGAAGGAACCAUCACCACACACCACAGACAUACUACAGAUACAAGUGACUUCCAUUGUGAGUAUGAACACGGACAAUUGUCCCUCAUCUUUCAAAAAGUGCAGCCCCUGGAGAGUGGAAAGCGCUACACCUGCAAACUACACUCCAACCAGGGAGCUCCAUAUGGACAUACAAGAGUGGAGUUAAAAGAGUGUUGUGGGAGUUCUAAGGGUGUUUUGACAAGUGAUGGUCCCGUCUGCACCUUCAACCAUGUCCACCCAGAUGGAGAUGUGCACUGGUUUCAUGGCUCCCACAAUCUCUCAGAUGGGUCUUACACUACUACUACUAAAAGUGUGGAUGAAAAGGGUUGGCUGACUAUCCAUAGUUCCCUGAAGCGGAAAAGUUCAGAUGUGCCAUACAGCUGUUCCUUAAAGAGCACCACCUCUGGUAGAUACAUUUCGAGCACUUUGAUUCAGAACCAUGAAUUCCUGGUGAGGGGAGCCGGAAAACAAGAAGCUACAGGCCUGGAGAGGAAUGGAGUUGGAUCACAGAGACCUAUGAAGACAAUUUUGUGUAUUUCAAUCUUACUUGCGGUCACAUUAACAAAAAUGGAUUUGCCAAAGUAAAUCCUUCAUCAUGGCGUGUGAUAAAUCAUCAGGGUGAAGCGGUGAUUAACAUUAAUUAGGAAAAAUCCGGUACUGAGAUUCAUGUAUUUUUUUAUAAAUCCAGGACAACAGCACUUCCAGUUAAGUGAGUCAUCUUGCAUGGUCCAAAGGUUUUCUAUUCUGCCUUUUAGCAUUGGCAAGUGAACAAGGAAAUGACAGACUGUUGAGACGCUGAUAAUCAUUGCACUGCAUAAAAUGCCUUUGUUGUUUUGUGACUGCUGUGUGAAUGUACUCUUUCUGCAAGAACGCCAUGAAAACAAAAUCUGUCCACCUUGAACAGAAUGAAAAGACCUCAAAAGAUGGGUUCUGCCAUGAAUUCCCCUCAGAGACAGAGAAGCCUUUGUGAGAGAAAUAUCAAAUAGCUGGACACAGGACCUCUCAGUCAGACUGUCUGUUGUUUGUGGAUGGAUGCUGCCCUCUGGUGAACUAGUUGUGAUCAGUACGACAUGCGGCUGCUGUGUAAGUAACUGUUUCACGGCCAGUGGACUGUCAAAAUGGAGGGCAAAUGGGUGCAUUAAAAGGGUUGGUUUACCUAAAAAAAACAUUUUUCACUUACCUGUAGUGGUAUGUGGUAUGUGGUCAUGCAGACAGCUUUGGUUUCUGAUAAGCCCUGGUACAAUGGGGUGGAAAUAGCAAUUGUUUAAUUGUAGAGACAUGUUCCAAUGAACAAUGUCCACAAUGAGGCCUGGAUUAUCCAGAGUCACUGGACACUGUUUCUGGAAAGAAAUGUUCCUGUUCAAUGCUUUCAGCACAAAAAAUGAAAUUCCAUUCUCCUCAGUUUUAUAGGUGUGGUUGCAGAAUCUUGGAGAUGAAUAUCUCAAACCUGGGCAUAUAAGAAUAAGACCAAAAACUAUCUGCAUGGUUACACACCAGAGGUAAAUGAGGAAAUGUGGAUUUUUUGUUGUGCACACACAAAGUCAUAGGUAUGUGCAAAACAGAAUAUUUUGUUGCUUUUCAUUUUAGAUCUGAACAAUAGUCAGCGUCCACAGCAGGUAUAGCUCGAAGAUGGAGAAGAAACCCAGCUCCAAAGCUAAAACUAUACUUUUAUAACGCCUCAGUGGACCCUCUUCAGACAGGACAUUUGAAAGCCAUUUCAAGUCAAAAUGACGCUUUGCUAAUGGUGUCACUAAAUCGGUGCCACGCAUGGGGCAGGUUGAGCUUUUAACAACAUGUUGCUGCGGCUAAGAGCCCACUAGGUAAACGAAUGCAAGGUCACUUUGACUAUUCUAGCCCACAUGGAUGCAUCACACACACACACACACAAAUAUUGAGAACUUAUUUGUGUCGUCUUUAAUGUGUUUUGGAAUAAUGGUCUCUCAAAAGCAUCAUUUUGAGAAAUGUUCCUACUGACUAAUGACAAAAUGAUAUAUUCUACUUAAUGCCUACCACGUAUUUGGCACUGCAAAAUUGAAGCAAUUUACAUAAAUGGUAUUCAAAAUGGCUGUAUUAUAUUUAAUUAACUUCACAAUCACAGUGUUGUGCUAUAAAGGGAGCUGGUUGAUUAUCUAUUUCAUGAUGACACUGAUGUGCCUGAAUGCUGCUUAAAGGCAUGUUUUUAUUUUUCAUGUUCAUGUUUCAUGUUAUACUACUAAUGUCUCUUUCCUGUUGAAUGCACAACAGAGGAAGUUUAAAUGAAUCACUGUAAAUAGUUUGGGUUGUUAAAAGCAAGAUGUUUCAAUCAUUGUGUUACUGCAAUGUACCGAGUACCUGCAUGUCUUUACAAUUAGGAGAAACCAGUUAAAGGCACCAGAUUUAGGCUCAACAGUGUAAACAUGAGGAGACAACUUCUUUUGUCUUUUGUUUUGUUUUUACUUUUGCAGCUAACUUAAUGUUUACAAAAAAAUCUUAACUUACUUAAUAAUGUAAUAACUGCUGUUGGCUGUCAAAAUGGAGCAUUUAUAGGGAAAUAAAGGACAUUUCUGAUUUA
RNA transcript from Micropterus salmoides (largemouth bass), 4595 nucleotides. RefSeq lists it as uncharacterized. The record is from RefSeq and is a predicted model, not a curated record. NCBI's taxonomy places the organism in Eukaryota, Metazoa, Chordata, Actinopteri, Centrarchiformes, Centrarchidae. The transcript is spliced from 6 exons.